Long non-coding RNA from Vicia villosa (hairy vetch), 3790 nucleotides. RefSeq lists it as uncharacterized. The record is from RefSeq and is a predicted model, not a curated record. The transcript has 3 exons. Lineage: Eukaryota; Viridiplantae; Streptophyta; Magnoliopsida; Fabales; Fabaceae.
AAACCUAAAAAUGCUUCUUCUAUGAGAGCAAACACGACAUAUUCAGAAGCGCUUCUUUGAAGAAGCACUUUUUCUCACGCGCAUUGGCUAAGCUUUCACGGUUUCUCUUGUGCGACACACUCUCAAAAUCAUGCCCUCUCCCUCUCAAUUCUUACGCAACAAUUACGACGCUGAUUCUCUUGGUCUCGAAUUGGUUGGAUUUGGAUUUCAGAACUGAUUCGAAUUGUUAUCGACUCAGGAUUCGAUUCGCGUUGGGGCUCAGAAUCUGUUUGCGCUCGAAAUUUCAACUCGGAGCAGUUUAAGUUAAAGUUAGAGCAAGCAUACGAUAUCAUAAAGCUGAGAAUGGAGGAAUGCUUAUCGGUUGAAGCGAUGAGGAGAAGAAAAUGCAGCUUUCGAUCUUUCUCACAAGGUAUUCGAUAAAAUGCCUCACCGGAUUUUUUCCCUCUUUUUGCUUCUAUUUUACUUUUGAUUUGUUGCCGUUGUGUUUUAUAGUUGCUAUUGAUGAUUAUGCUCAGGUUAGUUUGCAUAUUAGCAUAUAAUUAUCUUCGUUAUUGCCGUUUCGUGCUAUUGCCGAUAAAAAGUAAUUAUUGUUCAUUAUGCGUGACAAAUAUAGUGUUUCUUUCCAUUGUUAUGAUUUCUUUCUUUGUUAACGUUCUAGUUGAAGUGGUUUAAUUCAGUUUUGCAAUGGGAAUCUGGGACUUGCAUAUGGUUGACAUAGUAGUAUAAUUUGUAUGAAGUAUGAACCCACUUAGUAUAUAACAAAAAUUAAUUGGAUUAUCCUAUUAAGCUAACAAUGUGAGUAGUUCUAUUAAAGACUUACAUGUUCUUUAUACAUGUGGUAUUUGUGUUAGAAGUUAGAACAGGGUAAUUGUAAAAGAAAAUGCCUUGUUUGACUAACAUCAUACUAGUUUAGGUUUGUGUACUAGUGUAAACUUAUGGACUAUUAUAUGAUCAUUAGGAAGCUCCAUGCAUGGAGUUACAGGAAGACAACAAAACUUCAUGCAAUGGCCAUUGUUUUUUGAGUGGAGUGAGGAUGCUUUGUAAUAAUUAGUAAUGUAGUGGACAUGUUUUGCAAUUACAUGAUUCCUUCUAGUUUUUGGUUUGAUGGAAUCAUUUUGUAGUGAAAAACUGAAAAUUGAAUAUUUACAUCUUUUUUCAUUUCUAAGUUGUUGCUUGACUAUUAGUCAAAGGGGUUGCAAACUGGAUGAUUGAGGCCUUGAAGCAUGUCAGCGAAUAGUCAUCUAAUGGAUCUUAGAAGGCCCAUGUCAGGUAUUUUUAUCAUACUUCACAGAAAAUGCAACAUGCAAUAUUCUGUAGUUAUUUAAUAUUAUGGCCCUGUAAGUACAAUUAGUGACAUUCUACUGCUGACCUUAUGAUAAUAGACCAGUAGGGACUUAACAUGCAGGAACUUACUCAUUCUAGAAUCAAAAUUUCAAUCAUUAUAAUUUUGUCACUGACCUUUAUAUACUUUAUUCUAUCAUUAUAAUUAUUAUUCUCAUGAUCUGAGUACUUUUUUCAUUGAAUCUUAGCCUCUCAAUAUCUUUUGGAAAUGUUUGGCAAUUAUUUAAUCAAUUAAUGUGAAAAGUUUAUUGGAUGUUUGCUUUUAGUCACAGGUGCUACAUUUUUUAAUUUGUAUUUGUCAAAAACAGAUGGACUCAUCUCACCAACUCACAUUGGAAUUUACAAAUGAUUUUGAACUCGCUAUUUUUUAAUUCUUUUGAGGUUCCUUAAAGUGCUUUUGGAAUGUGAAUUCACGUGUUAUAUUUCUGUUCAUUAAACUAACCUCAUGGAAAAAAUUUAAACUUUUAGGUUUCACAUGGAAAAAAUUUAACCUGACUGCGGCCUGUUUGACAGAAGUCAAAGCCAGCUCAUAUUUACGAUAGCUUUUAGUGAAAACCAUUAUUGACGAGCUGACUUCAGGUUUCCAAAGAUUUCUACAUAAUGCAUCAGUUUCGUAGUAAAGCAAGGUCGGUUUGAUCGUCCACAAAGGAAUCAAGAAAAGUCUUCACGUCAAUUUUGCCGAAGUUCUCGAUGAUGCCUGUUCUUGCAACGUUUGUGGCUUAGUCUGGCUUGGUAGUAUAAUACUUUACUCUCUUUAUUUUCUAUCUUAAAACUAAAUAUAAAUAUGAGUUAUAUGGUCUACUUUAUUGAAAUUAAUGUUUUUGUAAUUUUCAUAUGGGGAAUCGUUGUUAUAAAGCACCUGAACUUUUGAUGGGUUCUACCCGUUACUCAACUGCAGUUAAUAUCUGGUCGAUGGGCUGCAUAUUUGCGGAUAUGAUUAAGCUCAAACCUUUGUUCGUUGGUAAAGACGAACCUGAGAUAUUGGCUUAGAUAUUUUGGUAAUUUCACCAAAACACAAUCACUAUUAUAUGUGUAAUUUCUCUGCACUUAUAUGAAAUAAUGGAUUGGACAUUUUAUAUAUCAAGUUUGCUUGGCGUGCCAACAGAAGAAUCCUGGCCUGGUGUGUCUUCUAUAUGCACCUUUAUUCAACAUCUUGAUCCUUCAAUGAUGCCAAAGGUAUUCAUGUUCUGCUUUUGAUCUCCUUUUAUAAAUUUUGGGCAGCAAAUAAGCAAUGUAUGGAAACUAUUGGAUUUUGUAGGACCUAGCAUUAGAGUUCCCAAAGUCUAAUAGAUUUUAUUAUUCUUUUUCUAAAACUAUUUUUUGUUUUAAAAUUCACACUUAAUUUUCACUAACAACUUGAUUUUCACUUUUAAUUCACUUUUGUAAUACUAGCAUGAAUAGACAUAUAGAUUCAAAAGGAAUAUAUUGGAGCCAAUCCAACACUCCACCAACAAGAUACUCUGUUACAGUUGUUCAUUCCAAAAUCUCUAGUAUUUCUUUGUCCAGAGCUGAAUAUGAAAAUGCAGAAGUCCAGGAGGAAUUUUAUGAUGCAGUGGCUCUGAUUCAUCGACUUCAGAUGAAGAAAGUGAAGAAGAUGAAAAUCUUGAGAAUAAGGAUCGAAAGGUCAAACUAAAGAAUAUUUCAUGGGCAAUGACAGCUUUACCUUUGAAGCGAACAUCAGGUCAGCUUUUUCCGUGUCUUAAUAAUUGCAACUGCAAGCCUAAAGGCAUUAAUAAUAUCAUUUAGGCAGCACUAAAACUUACAUUUUUUUUGGAGCACCUACAGCAUUGCGCACAGUGCAAUGGUUGCAGAAGUGUUGUAUCUUAGAUCCCCAUUGUCCUGUCUGUUGGAUCUAAGUUAAAAUGAGAUAAAAUAUAUAUAGAAUUUUAGACCAAACAGCCAUUGCUUGUGACCGUAGAUCCCUGAGUUGUUUACUUUGUGAUUGUAGAUCCCUGCAUUGUUUACUUUGUUGAUGAAGAAACUAAUAGAAGAAACUAAGCUAUAUUAUUUGUUGAACACACAAUUAUGAUUGAUUGGUUUCUGAUAUUAUUUGUAUAAGUGUGUUUGAUCUUUAGAUUCAAAACAGCACUGCAUAUUUGGUUUUUGAAAUCCAUGGUAUGCUAGUGCUACUACUACCUCACUCACUCUCUGUUUCAUUGAUUCGAACAAGGCAAUGGCAAGAAGAGAAAGAAAAGUCAGCAAAGUGGAAAAGAUACAAACAAUAACAACAACGCAUAAGCGGUUUUCCCCAAAAGCUCCAACGGAGCGCUUAUUUCCCAAAGCGGUUUUUUCUGUUCAAAAUGGAGUUGUUACUCUGUUCUGUUGUGGAAGGUAAUGGAAAAACGACUUUGAAUUUGAAAUGCUUAGACUUGAACUAGUUAAAGAUGAAGCAUUAUUACUCUAUUUUUUGGUGUUAAUUUUAUCUUUGAUAUUGCUGAUUAAAGAUGAA